CAGUAGCCGCGGUAAUACAGAGGGUGCGAGCGUUAAUCGGAUUUACUGGGCGUAAAGCGUGCGUAGGCGGCUUUUUAAGUCGGAUGUGAAAUCCCUGAGCUUAACUUAGGAAUUGCAUUCGAUACUGGGAAGCUAGAGUAUGGGAGAGGAUGGUAGAAUUCCAGGUGUAGCGGUGAAAUGCGUAGAGAUCUGGAGGAAUACCGAUGGCGAAGGCAGCCAUCUGGCCUAAUACUGACGCUGAGGUACGAAAGUAUGGGGAGCAAACAGGAUUAGAUACCCCUGUAGUCCCUGUCUCUUAUAA
This 301-nucleotide ribosomal RNA is filed under the name uncultured bacterium. RNAcentral's name for it is "partial 16S ribosomal RNA". It matches the Rfam family "Bacterial small subunit ribosomal RNA", at positions 509 to 809 of the family's 1533-position model. The record is from RNAcentral.